GGGGGGGCACGUAAGGAAAGCGGAAGCCGGGAAUGGAAAGCCCGGUGCAAGCGGGGUACCAGCCACUUUGGCAAAUCCGGGUGGCAAUGGGAAGCCGUGAUGCGGGGCGAAAUAAAGUAGCGAAGUCCGUGAGCCAUGCGUCAAGAAAAGCCGCUAUUGUUUAUACCGUACCCGUACCGUAAACCGACACAGGUGGAUGAGGAGAGAAUCCUAAGGCCGGCGGAAGAAGCAUUGUCAAGGAACUCGGCAAAAUGGCCCCGUAACUUAGGGAUAAGGGGUGCCUGGGAAACCAGGCCGCAGAGAAUAGGCUCAAGCAACUGUUUAGCAAAAACACAGGUCUAUGCGAAACCGAAAGGUGAGGUAUAUGGGCUGACGCCUGCCCGGUGCUGGAAGGUUAAGAGGAGAGGUUAGCGCAAGCGAAGCUUUGAAUUUAAGCCCCAGUAAACGGCGGCCGUAACGAUAACGGUCCUAAGGUAGCGAAAUUCCUUGUCGGGUAAGUUCCGACCCGCACGAAAGGCGUAAUGAUUUGAGCGCUGUCUCGACAAUGCAUCCGGUGAAAUUGAAGUACCAGUGAAGAUGCUGGUUACCUGCGCCAGGACGGAAAGACCCCAUGGAGCUUUACUCCAGUCUGGUACUGGGACUCGGUAUUGCAUGUACAGGAUAGGUGGGAGGCUAGGAGAUGGUAACGCCAGUUGCCAUGGAGCCGCUGUUGGGAUACCACCCUUGCAGUAUUGGGUUUCUAACCAGCCGCCGUGACCCGGCGGUGGGACAAUGCCAGACGGGGAGUUUGACUGGGGCGGUCGCCUCCGAAAGGGUAUCGGAGGCGCCCAAAGGUUCCCUCAGAAUGGACGGAAACCAUUCGAAGAGUGCAAAGGCAGAAGGGAGCUUGACUGCGACACCGACGGGUGGAGCAGGUACGAAAGUAGGGCUUAGUGAUCCGGUGGUAUUAAGUGGGAAUGCCAUCGCUCAACGGAUAAAAGCUACCCUGGGAUAACAGGCUUAUCACUCCCAAGAGUUCACAUCGACGGAGUGGUUUGGCACCUCGAUGUCGGCUCAUCGCAUCCUGGGGCUGUAGUAGGUCCCAAGGGUUGGGCUGUUCGCCCAUUAAAGCGGUACGCGAGCUGGGUUCAGAACGUCGUGAGACAGUUCGGUCCCUAUCCGGCGUGGGCGUAGGAUAUCUGAGAGGAGCUGUCCUUAGUACGAGAGGACCGGGAUGGACGGGCCGCUGGUGCAUCGGUUAGACUGCCAAGUCUACGGCCGAGUAGCCAAGCCCGGAAGGGAUAAACGCUGAAGGCAUCUAAGCGUGAAGCCCCCCUUAAGAUGAGAUAUCCCAUUCGAAAGAAGUAAACCCCCUUGAAGACGACGAGGUAGAUAGGGCAGAGGUGGAAGUGCAGCAAUGCAUGGAGCUGACUGUUACUAAUCGGGUGAGGGCUUGAUC
Molecule: ribosomal RNA, 1438 nt
Filed under: metagenome
Description: bacterial LSU rRNA
Rfam family: Bacterial large subunit ribosomal RNA
Source: RNAcentral